This is a long non-coding RNA of Rhincodon typus (whale shark), 1846 nucleotides long. RefSeq lists it as uncharacterized. Lineage: Eukaryota; Metazoa; Chordata; Chondrichthyes; Orectolobiformes; Rhincodontidae. The record is from RefSeq and is a predicted model, not a curated record. The transcript has 5 exons.
UAGACACAUUGCAUUGAACCACCACCCAACCAUGUAACAACUGUAAUUUUGAAUUCAAACAGGAGAUUUUGAGAAAGAGGUAGCUGAACUCUCUAAACAAGAACAGCAACAGGGCGAUGAGGACUCGGCAGAUGAUAUUGACAAUUCAGAGCUCUCUCAGUUUUGUGGCCUGACCUCAAAGCAUAACUAUACAUCGCUUAAUCUAAGUCUUUUGGAGGAAUAUAUUUUCAAGCAGGUAAAAUUGAGAGAGUUAGAACUUGAUGAACUUGCAAAAUCUUUGGAGCAUGCCCAAGAUGAGCGUGAAAAUCUAAACACACAGUUGGAAGGAUUGAAGAAUCAGAAGGUAAAGUUGGAAACUGAUCUUGCAAACCUGAAAGCCUAUGGAGCAACAUUGGAUGCACAACUGGACAGUUUAAAAAUGGUUCCAAUGCUCUUUCAGUUCCACAUUCAAAUAAUGGAUAAUGGAAAUUGCAUGCGCCAGAAACAGUUCCUAUCUCUGGAUACAAUCAUGAAGUAAAGCAGAAACACUCCAAAUUGCAACAACCUUUUGCUAAAAGUACUGUGUAUAUGAAGAAUAAAGAUGUUGAACGAUGAAGAAUGGAAAAAUUUUGAAGCAACAGCUCAGGUCAGAUGUGAAUGCUGAAUUUCACUGGGUUUCUAUCUGUUUAAAGAGAUUUUGUCUGUUGAAGUUAGCUUUUGUGAAUUAGAGUUAUCAGUGUUUUAUUUUAAUGCAACAAUUUUUGCAGAUCGCUAUGUUCUGACAUUACGCUGUAUUCUGUUAUGAAAGUAUGUAGCGAAUACAUUUUAUCAAUACAUACUAUGUCGACCAUGCGGCGCAGCUUAAACUUUGAAUGCUCAUUACUGAGAGUUGUUAAUCUGGGGUCUUCACAUGAUUAUCAUUGGCUGAACUGUGGUCAAUUUAAACACCAUAUGGGGCAAUUUUUUUAAAAUGCUUAAGUCCACUGGUGGAAGAUGUUUACCACAGUAAUGUAAAACCUAAGUAGAGUAAAAAUGAAUCUUGUCCCCAUCCUGGCAGCAGUUUUGUUAUCAAACAGAACACUACAAUUUCGUGGUUUAAACAAACACUCCUCCUGUGUUUUCUAUGUACUAAUUGACACAGCAUUCUUUUUACAGAAAAAUGAUAGAAAGAAAUGUCUUUUACAACACGUGAAUGAAAGUGGUCUCCAUUUGUGGUUUUUCUACAAAUUGUGAACUGUGGUUUGUUUUUUUAAUUUCAGUUAUCAGUAAUUAUGUACAAUACAAUACAUGUAAUGUACAAUAAUUAUGUACAUUAGUGGAAAAUUACUUUGUCUAGUUUUUGAAAUUGCAGAAAUGUAAUUUUCAUUGUAAUACUUGUUGUUUGCUGCCAGCUAUUCAAAACGUUAAAUUUUUUGUACACAAUGUACAUGUGUAUCAUACAUGGAUUUUAAUGUAAAUUGGCUACUAAUUUUUGAUGCAUCUCUUAUGCUGAAUUGCAAGAUUACUUCCAGUUUGUGAUGCACAUUAUAUUGAACAGGAUUGUUCUUGGUGCCAACACAGAAGGCAAAGUUUCCAGUAAAUAGCCAUUGUCUAAUACAUCAAUUAGUUGGUGCUAUAGUAGUGAGACUAAUGAAUUGCACUUUCAUAUAUGGGUCAGAUUGUAGAAUGUGUAUUUUUAAAUAAUGCUUAAGAAAACUAUGAAUCUGUUUUAUAGAUAUAAAAAAUAUGUUUUGGCAUUUUAAAUGUUUACUAAAUCAUUGAGAACACUGUUUUCUAUAUAGUAUUGCUACAUUUGAACAUUAAAGGACUGUAUAUUUAUUUUUAUUGUGAAAAUACUGUCAAAUACAAUAAAUUGCUUUUAAAGGUG